GAUGAACGCUAGCGACAGGCUUAACACAUGCAAGUCGAGGGGCAGCGGGGGUGAUGGCUUGCCAUCACCCUGCCGGCGACCGGCGCACGGGUGAGUAACACGUAUGCAACCUGCCCGCCACAGGGGGAUAAGCGGAAGAAAUUCCGUCUAAUACCGCGUGACGCGGCAUCGGGGCAUCCCGGUGCCGCCAAAGGGAUUACCGGUGGCGGAUGGGCAUGCGGCGCAUUAGCUAGUCGGCGGGGUAACGGCCCACCGAGGCGACGAUGCGUAGGGGUUCUGAGAGGAAGGUCCCCCACACUGGUACUGAGACACGGACCAGACUCCUACGGGAGGCAGCAGUGAGGAAUAUUGGUCAAUGGGCGGGAGCCUGAACCAGCCAAGUCGCGUGAGGGAUGACGGUCCUACGGAUUGUAAACCUCUUUUGCCGGGGAGCAAGCGUGCGUUCGUGAACGCGCGUCGAGAGUACCCGGAGAAAAAGCAUCGGCUAACUCCGUGCCAGCAGCCGCGGUAAUACGGAGGAUGCGAGCGUUAUCCGGAUUUAUUGGGUUUAAAGGGUGCGUAGGCGGGAUGCCAAGUCAGCGGUAAAAAUGCGGUGCUCAACGCCGUCGAGCCGUUGAAACUGGCGUUCUUGAGUGGGCGAGAAGUAUGCGGAAUGCGUGGUGUAGCGGUGAAAUGCAUAGAUAUCACGCAGAACUCCGAUUGCGAAGGCAGCAUACCGGCGCCCUACUGACGCUGAGGCACGAAAGCGUGGGUAUCGAACAGGAUUAGAUACCCUGGUAGUCCACGCAGUAAACGAUGAAUGCUAACUGUCCGGUGCGAAUGAGCGCUGGGCGGUACAGCGAAAGCGUUAAGCAUUCCACCUGGGGAGUACGCCGGCAACGGUGAAACUCAAAGGAAUUGACGGGGGCCCGCACAAGCGGAGGAACAUGUGGUUUAAUUCGAUGAUACGCGAGGAACCUUACCCGGGCUCAAACGCAGGAUGACGGGUCCCGAAAGGGGCCUUUCUUCGGACAUUCUGCGAGGUGCUGCAUGGUUGUCGUCAGCUCGUGCCGUGAGGUGUCGGCUUAAGUGCCAUAACGAGCGCAACCCCUGUCCACAGUUGCCAGCAGGUAAAGCUGGGGACUCUGUGGAGACUGCCGGCGCAAGCUGCGAGGAAGGCGGGGAUGACGUCAAAUCAGCACGGCCCUUACGUCCGGGGCGACACACGUGUUACAAUGGCAGGUACAGCGGGAUGCCACGGGGCGACCCGGCGCUGAACCCGAAAACCUGUCUCAGUUCGGAUUGGAGUCUGCAACCCGACUCCAUGAAGCUGGAUUCGCUAGUAAUCGCGCAUCAGCCACGGCGCGGUGAAUACGUUCCCGGGCCUUGUACACACCGCCCGUCAAGCCAUGGAAGCCGGGGGUACCUGAAGUGAAUGACCGCGAGGAGCGCCCUAGGGUAAAACC
Molecule: ribosomal RNA, 1445 nt
Filed under: uncultured bacterium
Lineage: Bacteria
Description: partial 16S ribosomal RNA
Rfam family: Bacterial small subunit ribosomal RNA
Source: RNAcentral